Molecule: ribosomal RNA, 303 nt
Filed under: uncultured bacterium
Lineage: Bacteria
Description: bacterial SSU rRNA
Rfam family: Bacterial small subunit ribosomal RNA
Source: RNAcentral
UGGGGGAUAUUGCACAAUGGGGGGAACCCUGAUGCAGCGACGCCGCGUGAAGGAAGAAGUAUCUCGGUAUGUAAACUUCUAUCAGCAGGGAAGAAAAUGACGGUACCUGACUAAGAAGCCCCGGCUAACUACGUGCCAGCAGCCGCGGUAAUACGUAGGGGGCAAGCGUUAUCCGGAUUUACUGGGUGUAAAGGGAGCGUAGGCGGCAGUGCAAGUCAGAAGUGAAAGCCCGGGGCUCAACUCCGGGACUGCUUUUGAAACUGUACAGCUUGAUUGCAGGAGAGGCAAGUGGAAUUCCUAGUG